This 68-nucleotide transfer RNA is filed under the name Marmota monax (woodchuck). Its description in RNAcentral is "tRNA.Ala". It matches the Rfam family "tRNA". From Rfam's summary of the family: Transfer RNA (tRNA) molecules are approximately 80 nucleotides in length. Their secondary structure includes four short double-helical elements and three loops (D, anti-codon, and T loops). Further hydrogen bonds mediate the characteristic L-shaped molecular structure. tRNAs have two regions of fundamental functional importance: the anti-codon, which is responsible for specific mRNA codon recognition, and the 3' end, to which the tRNAs corresponding amino acid is attached (by aminoacyl-tRNA synthetases). tRNAs cope with the degeneracy of the genetic code in two manners: having more than one tRNA (with a specific anti-codon) for a particular amino acid; and 'wobble' base-pairing, i.e. permitting non-standard base-pairing at the 3rd anti-codon position. Lineage: Eukaryota; Metazoa; Chordata; Mammalia; Rodentia; Sciuridae. The record is from RNAcentral.
GCUGUAGCUCAGUGGCAGAGCGCUUGCCUAGCAUGUGGGAGGCACUGGGUUCAAUUCUCAGUACCGCA